GAUGAACGCUGGCGGCGUGCCUAAUACAUGCAAGUCGAGCGAACAGACGAGGAGCUUGCUCCUCUAACGUUAGCGGCGGACGGGUGAGUAACACGUGGAUAACCUACCUAUAAGACUGGGAUAACUUCGGGAAACCGGAGCUAAUACCGGAUAAUAUAUUGAACCGCAUGGUUCAAUAGUGAAAGACGGUUUUGCUGUCACUUAUAGAUGUAUCCGCGCCGCAUUAGCUAGUUGGUAAGGUAACAGCUUACCAAGGCAACGAUGCGUAGCCGACCUGAGAGGGUGAUCGGCCACACUGGAACUGAGACACGGUCCAGACUCCUACGGGAGGCAGCAGUAGGGAAUCUUACGCAAUGGGCGAAAGCAUGACGGAGCAACGCCGCGUGAGUGAUGAAGGUCUUCGGAUCGUAAAACUCUGUUAUUAGGGAAGAACAAAUGUGUAAGUAACUAUGCACGUCUUGACGGUACCUAAUCAGAAAGCCACGGCUAACUACGUG
This 497-nucleotide ribosomal RNA is filed under the name uncultured bacterium. RNAcentral's name for it is "partial 16S ribosomal RNA". It matches the Rfam family "Bacterial small subunit ribosomal RNA", at positions 28 to 507 of the family's 1533-position model. The record is from RNAcentral.